GCAAUCCAAAUGAAAAACCUAGGACUAUACCACCAACCCAACACAAUUGGACCUUGACCCGACCCAAAAUUCCAUUAAACACGGCUGAAUCAGCUAACUCAACACCCCUAAAUCCCUUUCUUCCACAAUAUCAAAUCAAUGGUGAAGAACAACAAAGACCACUGAUGUCCCUGAAAAGGUGAAGAACAACAAAGACCACUAUAUUUAGGAGCGUUAAUCCCUUAAUUCUAUGGGUACGAAAGGGAAGCUUUCAAAUCGUCCUUUUCUCCCUUUUACAUCAAAUGGAAAAAUUAAUCUUUUCUCUACCUCCAAAUUUUCUCUGUGAUUUGGGGCCUUUCCAAGAAUUCAAAUUUGAGGACAGUUGGAACCCUCAAAUUUUCUAUAAAAGGAGUCUUUGGGCUCCCAUUUUGCAUCAACAAGAGCAGGGGUCAAGAAUCAUCAAUUAUCAAUUUAGCACUAAACAUUAGGAAGUUCAUAUUUUUAUUUUCUCUUUGUUUUUCUUGCUCUCUUUUCGAGUUUGAAGUUUGAGUUCGAAUCUCCUACGGAAAGCCCUAGUUCGCUGCUCCACAAAAGGAUCUAAGGCACAGACCCGGAGUCCCGCUAAGCAGUAGAUUGGGUUGUCUGAAGUUUGCAGUUGGUGAGCCUCCCUUAUUUUGGAAGACCUUGUUGAUUUGACAUUUAUAUUUCAUUGUUGGUUUAUGGUCUGACUGUGGGCCUUGUCCCCGUAUUCAGACAAUAGUAUUUUUUAGUUGUUAGAGCUUUCGCAGACUAGUGUCAGGUGUUUUUGAAUGUUUCAUGAACUCAUUUUCAUUUGUUCAGUUGAAGUAAAAGAAUGACCAUAUUUCCGUCU
This is a long non-coding RNA of Capsicum annuum, 850 nucleotides long. RefSeq lists it as uncharacterized. The record is from RefSeq and is a predicted model, not a curated record. The transcript has 2 exons. Lineage: Eukaryota; Viridiplantae; Streptophyta; Magnoliopsida; Solanales; Solanaceae.